GGACAAUGAACAACAUUUGGCACAGUAAGAAACUUACUCAAGGAUUCAUGUCAACAAGACUUUAAGUUUGGAAAAGAGAACCACCCCAAGACCCAGAGUGAGGAACAGCAUGAGAAGAAUCAAGAUGCCCCCCUCUGAGGAUCAGAAUCAUAACAAUUGCCAUCCUCACCAACCUCUAACGAAUUCAGAACAACCACAUGGAAUCAACUGUGCCUGUAAAUAGCACGGUGGUCCCAUUUCAGGCUGGGGUGGCGGGUGUGGAUACACAUCCUCAUCUAGGCUUCAUCUCAAUAGGAUCAUCUCCAGACUGUGUUCAGGCAGCUCUACCCCAUACCGAUGACUCUUCCUCACAGCAUUCACCUCAACACCAGCUUCUUCAAUGAUGCAGUCAUAACAUCAGGUAUGAAAAGCUCCAGUAGCCUUGGAAGAAGAGAUUAAGUGAAGGAAGAGGCUUCUUUUGAAAACAUUUCUGCUGCUAUUUUCUGCUGCUUUUAAGAUGUAUGUAUGUAUGUAUGUAUGUAUGUGUGUGUGUGUGUGUUUGUGUGUGUGUGUGUAUAUAAGCAUGUGUGUGUGUGUGUAUGUAUGUGUGUGUGUGUGUGUGUGUGUGUGUAUAAGCAUGUGUGUGUGUGUGUGUAUGUGUGUAUGUGUGUGUGUGUGUGGUAGCUAGGAAAUGUAUGUUUUUGUAUUUAAGUAAAUAUUUGCUAUUACUUAUGCAGUUAGAUGUCCUUUUUAUGUUCCAAUCAAAAUCAUAAAAACACCAAGAGUGCUUUGGUGAUUCCACUCUGGUUGCAGAUAAUAUUUUUUUCUGAUAGAUUAGUUAGCCUUCAAAAUUCUUUACAUAUGAGCAUGAACUAGCCAUAAUAUUAUCGACUUGAUCACACUGACAGCAUCAUUGUGCAUUGUCUAGAUAUGUGUGCAACAAAAGUUCACCUUCUGCUACCAUUUUUGUCAAGCUGUCUACACAUACAGUUUGACUCAUACGUUUGAUAAAUCCAACGUUUGCACCACACAGAACGCACUGCAACUGCCUCUGCAACGCAAUGCUGUAAGUCAAACGCAGCGUCCCAUUGGAAAUGAAUGUACUUCUGGUGUACUAAAACUCAAUGAAGCUGUUGGUGUGACUGAGGCAUUUUAAGUUGGAUUUAUCGAAGACAUGCGUCAAACUGUAUGCAUAGAGGGCUUGACAGAAAGGGUAGCAGAAGGUAAAUGUUGAAGUUUUGUAGCACACAUUUCAAGAUGAUGCUGCGUACCAUUUUGCGCAAUAACACUGCAGGUGUGAUCAAGGCAUUAUCCAUCGAACUAGCUUACGGCUCAGCUCGUCUCACUACUUUAGCUAAUUAACAUAGAUACAUAGCUAGCUAAUGUUAGCUACCUGGGUCAAUCUUACAAUUUUCUGUCCCCAGGAAAUAUCAGUUCUUAUUUAGUGUAAAAUGUGGAUUCCAAAAAGUCAUUAAAUAUAAGGUCAUGUGUCCUUUACCUUAAAAACACCAAAAUGUGGAUCCUGAAAGGGAAUUUUAUGCAUUUUAAACACUUUUUGUCAGUGGAUGUAGGCAUUUUUUGGAAUGUCCUCAGGUGUUCUUUAUCAACCACGACAAGAAAUAUAAGCCAUAAAAUAAUAGAAUCUUUAAAAUAUUUCUUGACUAUUUCAUAGUCCUAGUUAAAGUAUUUUGUUUUACUUUAGAAGGUGCCUAUUCUGCUUAAUGGACCCUGUAUCAUCUGAUGUGUCUCCAGUAUGAUUAUCUAUACACAUGGUUUUAUCAAGGCUUCAUGCCCAAAAUGCAGUAAGCUCCACUGAAAAAUGGAGGGUGGUACAUCUAGGCAUAGUAGUAACGAAUUCUAUGAGACUCGGCAUUACUAUAAAGUAUAAAGGUACCUGUAUCCGGCUGUUAAGGGAGCUCCAAAUUACGUAAGGCCUGGCCAUUUGUUUGUUCUUGCACAAUGUUUUACCAAACACACAUCUGCAUACACACACACACAUACACCACCCGUCUAUACAAAUAAAUAUUUGUUAGUGGUGUUAAAACCGUGUCUGGUUUAUUGUGUGAGUUUUUCUACUUUGUUUUAGUAGGUUCUUCACAGGUUAAAAAGGAUGUACCUUGAAGUAUCUAUUGUCUGAAUUUUGGAUGAACACAUGUAAGUUCUCCUGAUGAGAAACGUACUGAAAAACCCAAUGUAUACCUGG
Molecule: long non-coding RNA, 2182 nt
Organism: Oncorhynchus tshawytscha (Chinook salmon)
Lineage: Eukaryota; Metazoa; Chordata; Actinopteri; Salmoniformes; Salmonidae
Source: Ensembl